This 446-nucleotide ribosomal RNA is filed under the name uncultured bacterium. RNAcentral describes it as "partial 16S ribosomal RNA". It matches the Rfam family "Bacterial small subunit ribosomal RNA", at positions 338 to 795 of the family's 1533-position model. The record is from RNAcentral.
CCUACGGGAGGCAGCAGUCGAGAAUCAUUCACAAUGGGGGAAACCCUGAUGGUGCGACGCCGCGUGGGGGAAUGAAGGUCUUCGGAUUGUAAACCCCUGUCAUGUGGGAGCAAAUUAAAAAGAUAGUAACACAAGAGGAAGAGACGGCUAACUCUGUGCCAGCAGCCGCGGUAAUACAGAGGUCCCAAGCGUUGUUCGGAAUCACAGGGCGUAAAGCGUGCGUAGGCGGUUUCGUAAGUCGGGUGUGAAAGGCGCGGGCUCAACCCGCGGACGGCACAUGAUACUGGGAGACUAGAGUAAUGUAGAGGGGGCUAGAAUUCUCGGUGUAGCAGUGAAAUGCGUAGAGAUCGAGAGGAACACUCGUGGCGAAGGCGGGUUCCUGGACAUUGACUGACGCUGAGGCACGAAGGCCAGGGGAGCGAAAGGGAUUAGAUACCCGAGUAGUC